Molecule: long non-coding RNA, 3114 nt
Organism: Olea europaea var. sylvestris
Lineage: Eukaryota; Viridiplantae; Streptophyta; Magnoliopsida; Lamiales; Oleaceae
Exons: 5
Source: RefSeq, a predicted model, not a curated record
CUGCGACCCAUUUCCGUCCCCAAUUCAUUAAAAAUAUGGGCGCCAAUUUUGUUGCUAUCUCAGCUCUCAUCUAUAGUGGCCCCAUUUUGGCGCUCACGAUCCGACCAUAGUCUACAGUGCCGACACCUCCGAUUUGGCCACACCAUCGUUCUAGAUUCUGAUAGUUCCAGAUAAAUACACCAGCUCCGUCAGUGUACAACAGCGGCACCUUCAGAUUAGGCACCUUCGUUCCAACCAUUCGCCGACCGUUGCUUCGAAAUUAUGACAAGAGAAGGGAAAGAAAUUUUGGACAAUGUCGAAGCCGUUAUGUUGGUGGAGUCUGAUGACGAGAGUGAUCAUGAUAAUACAAAAUUACAAGGUGAUGACGGAACAGGAGGGAAUGGUGUGAUUGUGACUGUGCCUGUGCUUGUGCCUGAGGUGGGCAUGAAGUUUAAGGACGAAAAUGAAAUUUUCGAUUUUUAUAAAAGAUAUGCAUAUGACAUGGGUAUGAGAAAACAAAAUUCGAAAAGGGACGAUGAUGGAGUUCUGCAAUAUGUCACUUACGUUUGCAGCCGCAAAGGGAAAAAAAUCAAUAAUACAAGUGUUUCUUUAAAGCCACACGCUACCAUUCAAAAUGGAUGUAAAGUCAGGCUUACAGCAUGCUCAGAUAUUCUUAGAAUAUGGCGAAUUAACACAGUGCACCUAGACCACAACCAUAAAACAAGUCCUUUAAAAUCCAGAUUGUAUAGAUACAACAGAGAAUUAAGCAUGCAAGUGAAACGUUGUCUUGAAGUAAAUAACAUUGCAGGAAUACUGCUACACAAUUUCAAUUCUGCAGUUGUCGAAGCAGGUGGAUAUGAAAACAUGACCUGCAUUGAGAAUGACUGUCGAAGUUAAGUUGAACAAGUUAGGUGGCUAAGACUUGGCGAAGGUGAUGUCGCAACAAUACAGUCAUACUUUUCAACUAUGCAAGCACGGUGCUCAGGGUCUACUUCAAUAUUGAUUUGGAUGAAGUGUCAUGUCUGAAAAAUAUUUUUUGGGCAGAUAAUAGGAGUCGGCAGGCAUGUAUGGAAUUUGGUGAUGUUGUCACAUUCGAUACCACAUACCUAAUGAACAAGUAUAAUAUGCCGUUUACCCCUUUUGUUGGAGUGAACCAUCACGGACAGUCUACUCUCCUCGGAUGUGGUCUCAUAUUGAACGAGGAUACUGACACAUUUGUGUAGCUUUUUCUAACAUGGCUGCAGUGCAUAAACGGCCAAGCUCCUAAUGGGAUAAUUACUGAUCAAGCUAGGGCAAUGCAGAACACAAUCCAGAUCGUGUUUCCCAAUACGAAGCAUAGGUGGUGUCUUUAGCACAUAUUGAAAAAUUGCCAAAUAAAUUUGGAUUUCACAUUAACAAAGCUUCGAUAUUCUCUGCUAUAUACGGAUUGGUUUAUGAUUCUCAAUUUGUUAAAGAAUUCGAAGAAGGUUGGCUAGCGAUAAUAGAAAUGUAUAAUUUGCAAGACAAUGAAUGGUUAUCAUGCCUUUAUGAUAAUAGAUCUCGUUAGGUUCCUUGCUUUUUGCGGACCACUUUCUGGGCGGGCAUGUCAACAACUCAAAGAAGUGAAAGUAUUAAUGCAUUUUUCGACGGGUAUGUUCAUUCAACGACCUCGUUGAAGCAUUGAACAGUACGAAAGAGCAUUGAGAAGUAAGGCUGAGAAAGAGUUUCAAGUAGAUUUCAAAUCGUUCUCACAAAUGGUACCUUGAGCGACUAGGUAUGAAAUGGAGAAACAAUUCAAGGCAGUAUACACAAUUUCGAAGUUUAAGGAAGUUCAGGAGGAGUUCGUUGGCAAAGUUUAUUGCGAUCUCGUCUCUGUUAGCAAGGGAUUUCUGGGGGCGACAUAUGAGAUACACGAAGACAUCAUACAUGAUCAUCAUUGUACUAGAAAAACAUUCUUGGUCUCAUUAUCAAGUGACAAAUGGGAAGUUAUUUGCAGCUGUCACUUAUUCGAGUUCGAGGAAUCCUAUGCAUGUAUGCAAUCACGGUACUGAUACGCAGUGGAGUGAAAAUGUUGGCAAAUAAAUACAUUUUACGGAGAUGGCGGAGAGAUGUUAUCAGAUCCCACACGAGGGUUGUGGUGAACUAUGACGGGUUGGUUAAUACCCUAGCACAGUUGAUGUACGAUAAGAUUGUUAAAGCAUUUGCUACAUUGGCAAACAUUACUUGUGAUGAGAUGUAAAAGAUGGUUCAAUAUUAGAAUGGAUUGAAUCUCAAUGCAAACAGAUGGAUGCGUCGAAGUCCAAUUACGAGAGUAAUGUCUUGUCUAGUCAUAGUACUCGUAUAGCGUCUCAUGAUAUCGCAUCAGAGGAUAUUAGCAGUGGCUGCGUUAGCGUUCGGGAUCCAAAAGGGGUGAAGAGAAAGGGCGCUCCUAGAAAACUUUGCAAGAAGUCCCCGUUGGAAUUGAGUUCAAAUAAAGCGACGAUAUGUUACAUUACCUUUACCACAACACUUAUUUCUCGUGUUCAAAUACAAAGAAAAUAAAGUUUUGAUAAUCUGUGAUGUAGGCGGGUUGCAUUGCACCCAAAGGGAAAAAAUACAAGGCACGCCAAAGUAAUCCUGGAGUUGGAGCAACCAUGUUUCAGAUAACCCAACAAUCACAAUUCGAGGCAAUGCUAAUACCGUUAUCAUAUUCACAGUUCGUAAUGGGAAGGACCCAGAGCAUUGGGUUCUCACAACACUUACAACCGUCUACUUCCAUUCGCCCAGAUGGUCAAGUAUGUCAUGGUGUGCCCUACUAUGUUCCAUAUGUGCUGGACAACAACAAUGCUGACCCAUGAUAUUAGAAUAUGGAUGCGAUAACACAAAUCUGGUACUCAAGUAAAGAAUGUAGUUGGGAGAUCAACAAAUCGGAACCUGCAUUGCCUAUUUACACAGUGCACCUAUUGGCGUCUCAUGAAUUUUGUGAAGGCAGAGCAACAUGUUUAUCCCCUUUUGUUCAUGAAUGGUUCAUAUUGAAAUUACCAAAACUGAGGGAACAUUUUGUACUUAAAUUUUGAAGGAAACGGUGGAUGUUUCUCGGGUUGCAUAACGCGAAAUUUUAUUUUAUUUUAUUCCUCCUUUUUAUUCGAGUCUAUGGUGCUGGAAAUUGGUAUUCUA